UUAAUUACGAAAGCUUCGGUCCCUCCGGGGGCUGUCGCAUCCACCCUUUGUCUACGUGUACCUCUGUUGUUUCCUCGGUGGGUUCGCCCGCCGCCAGGAAUCCCUUAAACCCUUGUAUUUACAGUAUUCAAUCUCUGAUAACCUUUUAAAUUAUUACAACUUUUAACAAUGGAUCUCUUGGUUCUGGCAUCGAUGAAGAACGCAGCGAAAUGCGAAAAGUAGUGUGAAUUGCAGAAUUCCGUGAAUCAUCGAAUCUUUGAACGCACAUUGCGCCCCUCGGUAUUCCGUGGGGCAUGCCUGUUCGAGCGUCAUUUACACCCUCAAGCUCUGCUUGGUGUUGGGCGUCUGUCCCGCCUUGUGCGUGGACUCGCCCCAAAGUCAUUGGCAGCGGUCAUGCCAGCUUCUCGCGCAGCACAUUUGCGUCUGAUGAGGUUGGAGGAUCGGCGUCCAUUAAGCUCUUUUAUGACUUGACCUCGGAUCAGGUAGGGAUACCCGCUGAACUUAAGCAUAUCAAUAAGCGGAGGAAAAGAAACCAACUGGGAUUGCCCUAGUAACGGCGAGUGAAGCGGCAAUAGCUCAAAUUUGAAAUCUGGCUCCUUUUAGGGGUCCGAGUUGUAAUUUGCAGAGGGUGCUUUGGCGUCGGUAGCGGUCUAAGUUCCUUGGAACAGGACAUCGCAGAGGGUGAGAAUCCCGUUUGUGGUCGCAUGCCUUCGCCGUGUAAAGCCCCUUCGACGAGUCGAGUUGUUUGGGAAUGCAGCUCUAAAUGGGAGGUAAAUUUCUUCUAAAGCUAAAUAC
This 795-nucleotide ribosomal RNA is filed under the name fungal endophyte. RNAcentral describes it as "eukaryotic LSU rRNA". The stretch from base 469 to 795 matches the Rfam family "Eukaryotic large subunit ribosomal RNA", at positions 1 to 323 of the family's 3401-position model. The record is from RNAcentral. Lineage: Eukaryota; Fungi.